GCGAUAGUUUAAAUGGGUAUUGGUAAGUAAACGAUAGAAAUGAUACGGGGCUUGGAUUGUGAUUCCAAGGGUCACGGGUUCAAGCCCCGUACAUCGCCCCA
Molecule: transfer RNA, 101 nt
Filed under: Propionivibrio sp.
Lineage: Bacteria; Pseudomonadati; Pseudomonadota; Betaproteobacteria; Rhodocyclales; Rhodocyclaceae
Description: tRNA-OTHER
Source: RNAcentral